Molecule: non-coding RNA, 27 nt
Filed under: Rattus norvegicus (Norway rat)
Lineage: Eukaryota; Metazoa; Chordata; Mammalia; Rodentia; Muridae
Source: RNAcentral
UCAAUAGCUGGCACCUGUUGGAGUUAA